UACGUAGGGUGCAAGCGUUGUCCGGAAUUAUUGGGCGUAAAGAGCUUGUAGGCGGUUUGUCGCGUCUGCUGUGAAAUUUCGGGGCUCAACCCCGAACUUGCAGUGGGUACGGGCAGGCUAGAGUGCGGCAGAGGAGACUGGAAUUCCUGGUGUAGCAGUGAAAUGCGUAGAUAUCAGGAGGAACACCGAUGGCGAAGGCAGGUCUCUGGGCUGACACUGACGCUCAUGCACGAAAGCGUGGGGAGCAAACAGG
Molecule: ribosomal RNA, 253 nt
Filed under: uncultured bacterium
Lineage: Bacteria
Description: partial 16S ribosomal RNA
Rfam family: Bacterial small subunit ribosomal RNA
Source: RNAcentral